Psammomys obesus (fat sand rat) is the source of this 309-nucleotide long non-coding RNA. RefSeq lists it as uncharacterized. Lineage: Eukaryota; Metazoa; Chordata; Mammalia; Rodentia; Muridae. The transcript has 3 exons. The record is from RefSeq and is a predicted model, not a curated record.
CCCAUCUUUGGUAUGGUCUCCAUGGAGAAUGACCCUGCCUGGAGAAUUCCACAGACAGGACACAGGUUGGAACUCUCCACAGUGGCUAGGUAAAGAUGGUAGUGCAACUGGCCUCAUUUGGUGCAGUGUGACUGGAACAUUGAGGAAUUUGGGCUGUUCCUAAGAUGUCAUGAAAGUGUGGAGUAGAGAAACCCUGUUGAAGAAAGUGAUUGGGAGAAAAAGCCACUGCCUUUGUCCUGUCCUAUAAAGGUUCAUGUGUUGGAAUCUUGGUCCGUGAGGUGCUGAAGUGCUAUGAUGGGGCUCCACCAU